UUUAUUUUGUUUGUUAUGUGGUUACGUGAUAUUAUGUGGUUAGUCGAUGUUAUGUUGGUUUUUGAUUGUUUUAAUCGAAAUGAAUUAUGGAUGCUAGAACCCUAAAACACUAAAAGAUACCCUAGGCACGUAGAAUUAGACUUUGUCUUGUGACAAUUUUCUUCACGAACUUACCGACUCUUCAUCAAUAAAGGUCCGGGCGACAGGAAGUGAAGCCGAAGAAGAAGCGACUCCACGCUAGCUUAAGAACGUUUGAGGUGGGCAUUACUUUUACUAUACGUAUAUAGAGAUCCCCUGCGUGUCGUAGGCCUCUUAUACGAAUAUAUGCAUGAGAUGAUUUUAACUGUUAAUUUCAGUUUAUUAUUAUGCCCAAAUGAUAAAUGACUCUUAUGAAUGAAAUGGAAUGUUUAUGAAUGAAUGAAAUGAAUGUUAUGAAAUGAUUGACUAACCAAAAUUGUUAUGUUUUACGUAUGUAUCCUAUCUUUGUUGGUUCGNNNNNNNNNNNUUAGUUUGCUGUCAGUUCUCGAAGUACUAGAAGGUGAUAUUCUCACAGUUAGAAAGAUACACUAAGUAUCAACCUAUCUUUUGACCGAUAGUCGGUAGAAACAAAGCAACUUCUGGAAUCCCAAGUGGAGAACCAGGACAGAUAACUAGUAUGAUAGAGUUUUCAACAAAAUUUCAGGACGAAUGUGGUGGACACUUAUGAGAAACGCGUGAAGGAGUUCGCAAACGAAUGGCGUCAUGAGAUAUUCAAUUCCCCUACCAAGCCAAAGAAAUAUUACGUAGGAGCAACCAACGAGCAAGACUCUCACCAUCGAAUCACUGCUACCAAGGGAGAAUGGGAAGACUCCGACACAAUCUGGAUAUACACCACCUCAAGAUGUGGUGAAGGAAAGAAAAUGGAAUGAAGAAAACAACAGAAAAAUUCGAGAAUAGAAAAAGAACUUUAGAAUAAGACUUAAGAUCCAACCCAACCUCAAAGCCAACAACCUCACACUAGAAGGGUGAUUGCUUCGGCUAAAGUGUCAAAAGCUCCAUCAAUAGGAAGCAAGUAUUUGUUUUAAACUUCAGAGAACUUGAGCACUAUGUCUCAUUAGCCCCAAAGUUGAAUUACUUGACUUAUGACUUAGAACUCGUUGUGGUUGUGCACGUGUUGGAAAUUUGGAGAUACUAUCUCUACGGAGUUAAGUGUGAGGUCCUUAUAGCUGACAAGAAUUUGAAGUGCUUUUUCGAGCAAAGAGAUUUCAAUGUAAGACAACAGAGACGAUUCGAAUUAGUGAAGAAUUAUGAUGGUACCAUCAAUUGGAAAUUAAAAGAAGAUGUUUCACCACUAAAAAUGAAGUAUUGAUUGGUGAUUGCCUUAUUCAGUUUAGUAAUUGUUCAGCAUCCAGAGACAAUAUCAAGCUGUGUAGUUGCAUUAAUAGUUAAGUGUGAAUUGCGGGAAAGGAUUAUAAAAGCAUGAAAUGAAAAUGGAUAUUGGUGAGAAAAUGUGUCUCGCCUUGAGAAUGAGAAAAACGAAAGGAUUCGCGAAAGUCAGGAAUAAUGCACUAAUGGUUAGUGGAGGAUUGUGGAUGUAUACACUAGGUAUUAAGUCUCGCAGUUAAGAAAGUAUGUGAUUAAGAAAUAUGAGAUAGUCCAAGCUCAAGGCUUAAGUUAUGAAGAGAAAUCAGUUUAGUGACUAGAUUGUAAGGUUCAAGUUUUACGAGAACAAUGAUAUUGUUCUCGUCAUGUAGUGGAACCAUCACAUGAUGGAAAAGGCCACAUAAGAAGCAAAUGAAACAAAUGACUAGUAUAUCUCGAACUAGAUUACCCAGAUAUGCAAUUUCGAGGACGAAAUUUUUAUAAGGAGGGAGGAAUGUAACACCCCGCCUAUUUAUAUUAAGUUUAGAAUUUAUUUUAAACUUAGAUUAGGAUGAUUUAUGCCGGAAAAAUGAAAAAUGAAUUUAUUUUAAUUCCAACAAAAAUAAUUUACAAAAGCUUUGGUAAAUUUAGUUAUUUAAAUUUAUACGCAUUGCAUAUUUAUUUAAUUUAGCAUUUAAGCAUUUUCACGAGCUUUUGAUUAGCAAGAUUUGAAAGGAAUUCCUUUUAUAAAUGCACCAAGGAUUUAAUUACAUUCCCAUUACAAUUUUACUACAUCUAUUAUUCCUACAUUAUACAAUAAAGAAAGUUACAUUGGUACUCAUUUAUACAUAGACAUAUACACACAUUUAUAAGAUACAAGUACACCAAAUACCAACACCUCCCCAUCACCUACGACACCCUCCCUGCAGCUUUAUUUCAUUCACACAAUUAAAGUCUAUGCCUACACUCUAUUUUCCUUCUUUCACACAAUUAAAGUCUAUUCCUACACUCUAUUUUCCUUCAUUCACACAAUUAAAGUCUAUUCCUACACUCUAUUUUCCUUCAUUCACACAUCUACUCUUGAAAGAGCAACAACAUAGUCGUGCAGUCACCCCACCCUGUGCAUCCCUUUAUCUCAUCAGCCAAAGUCCUCCUUCAUCCCACACAACACUCUCUCGCCAAAAAAAAAACUCAGACACGAUUUUAUUCCAUCUACACCACACAGCAACAAAUCCAGUGGAAGGUUAUAUUUCUAACUCAUCCAGUUCAUGCCAAAUUCAUCAAUUCUUAGCCGAGAAAAGCACAAACACACAUCCAUCAUCUCAUCAAGAUAUAUGCACAUAUAUAUAUAUAUAUAUAUUUGUGUAUAUAUUUACAUUCAGAACAUGACUGUGUUUUUAAAAGAAAAGGAAGAAAGGUUGAGUCUUGGUUGUGUGUUUACUGUCGAGUCGAGAGUCGAGGGAGGCAGGGCACGGCGGCUGUGCCGCUGCUGCCCGGCCACGGUUGGAGAGAAUGAGGUGGGUUGGUCGGAGCUGGUUUGGGUGGAGGGCUGAACGGAGGACGACGGCGGCUGUGGCCUGAUGCUCCUGCUGCCCGUCGAUCCAGAGAGAGAGAGAGGGGNGGCUAGUGUUGGGCUAAGUUUGGGCUUGUUAGUGGGCCGAUUUUUGCUUUAAUUUUCAGUGGGCUUGAGUUGGGCUGUGUUUUUUUUUUUAUUUUGGGCUUAUUUUUCUUUAUUUCAUCUUGGCCUCUAAUUUUUAAUUCAUGGUUUGGCCUUUAUUAUUUAAUUGAAUUGUGCUUUUUUAUUUUUAAUUAAUUUAAUUAUUAUUAGUUUGAUUAAUUUAUUUUUAAAGGAUAAUUUUUCAUAAUAAUAUCAUAUUAUUAUUAUGUGCAUAUUUUAAGUAAUUUCUUAUUAUAUGCCAAGCAUGACAUGAAAUUGCAUUAUAUUUUUGCAAUAAGAGUAUUUAAGAUUCAAUUGGUUUUAUUUAUAAUUCCAAUUAUUAAAGAAAUAUGAGUAAGAAUAUUGUUGGUGUUCUUAACUCAAGAGAAAUGUUUUCAAUUAUUUAUUCAUUAAAUUUUGGAAACCCGGCGUGAUGAAUCAAGUAUGUUUAGUACAUUCACUAAGACUUUAAGUUAGCUUCACGAGACCUAUUAAGAAUAGAAUUUUGUAGGCUUUGUGACCAAGGGGAUUAGCGCUGCUUUCCCAAGACGAGUUUAUGUGAUUAUGAUCUUCAGGCUUUGCCUAUCCAGGUGGGCAUUACUUUCAUAUAUAUCAAAAUGAGUUUAAAUGUUACGUUCAAGUCAAGUUAUUUCAUGCAAAAAUCUCUGAGUUAAAGUAUUUCAAGUAUUGUCUUGCCAUAAAAUGUUUAAAUUUUAGUAUGAUAUCUAUCUGCUUUGGCUUUGCCAAUGAUGCAAUCGAAUUCGGGUCCUGAGCAGUUGAUAGCUAUCCUGCCAGGGCUAGUGUACACCAGUGACCGUGAGUCAUCUAGCGGGUUGGCCGGUCAAGUGACCGUGAGAGGUGGCCACCUCUCCGGCACAAAGUUCCAGAUAUAAUAGAUUACAAGAGAACUUAGUCUGCAAACGAACUUUAAGAAUCACAAAUGAACUUAGUAAGCUUGGGCCUUUUAGCGAAAAACUCCCUUGUUGUACUGUUUAUGAUGGCAUGACAAUUUACAGUUUUGAGCAUGUAUUUUUAUACUUAGGCAUACGUGCCCACUGAGUAUUUUUAUACUCAGCCCUGCAUGUAUUUCUAAAUGUGCAGGUUGAGCAGCUGAUGGAAUGGAAUGGUGUUGAGCGGGUGUUCCUUUGAUCGUUUCAAGAAAUGUAACCUUGAGUAUACAUCUUCAUAUGUAUAUCUCACACGUUUUCCGCUGCAAAAUACUUUGAUUAGGAUAGCUCUAUGUUAUGAAGUUGGGAUACGUGUUAUUGGGUAACCCACCUUAAUCAGUUCUCAUUUAUGUGUAUGUUUUAUAAGUAUCCAAAUAAUCAUAUAUGAUCCUAGCAUUUUAUCUAUGAGUG
RNAcentral lists this long non-coding RNA (4356 nucleotides) under Salvia miltiorrhiza (redroot sage). Its description in RNAcentral is "long non-coding RNA (SMIL_LNC002375)". Lineage: Eukaryota; Viridiplantae; Streptophyta; Magnoliopsida; Lamiales; Lamiaceae. The record is from RNAcentral.